RNAcentral lists this ribosomal RNA (468 nucleotides) under uncultured bacterium. Its description in RNAcentral is "partial 16S ribosomal RNA". It matches the Rfam family "Bacterial small subunit ribosomal RNA", at positions 28 to 507 of the family's 1533-position model. The record is from RNAcentral.
GACGAACGCUGGCGGCGUGCUUAACACAUGCAAGUCGAACGGAAAGGCCCUGCUUUUGUGGGGUGCUCGAGUGGCGAACGGGUGAGUAACACGUGAGUAACCUGGCCUUGACUUUGGGAUAACUUCAGGAAACUGGGGCUAAUACCGGAUAGGAGCUCCUGCUGCAUGGUGGGGGUUGGUAAGUUUCGUCGGUUGGGGAUGGACUCGCGGCUUAUCAGCUUGUUGGUGGGGUAGUGGCUUACCAAGGCUUUGAUGGGUAGCCGGCCUGAGAGGGUGACCGGCGACAUUGGGACUAAGAUACGGACCAGACUCCUACGGGAGGCAGCAGUGGGGAAUAUUGCACAAUGGGCGGAAGCCUGAUGCAGCAGCGCCGCGUGCGGGAUGACGGCCUUCGGGUUGUAAACCGCUUUCGCCUGAGACGAAGCGUGAGUGACGGUAAUGGGUAAAGAAGCACCGGCUAACUACGUG